This 464-nucleotide ribosomal RNA is filed under the name uncultured bacterium. RNAcentral describes it as "partial 16S ribosomal RNA". It matches the Rfam family "Bacterial small subunit ribosomal RNA", at positions 339 to 795 of the family's 1533-position model. The record is from RNAcentral.
CUACGGGCCGCACCAGUGGGGAAUUUUGGACAAUGGGCGAAAGCCUGAUCCAGCCAUUCCGCGUGAGUGAUGAAGGCCUUCGGGUUGUAAAGCUCUUUCGGCCGGGAAGAAAUCGUGCAGGCUAAUAUCCUGCAUGGAUGACGGUACCGGACCAAGAAGCACCGGCUAACUACGUGCCAGCAGCCGCGGUAAUACGUAGGGUGCGAGCGUUAAUAGGAAUUACUGGGCGUAAAGCGUGCGCAGGCGGAUGUUUAAGCCAGAUGUGAAAUCCCCGGGCUUAACCUGGGAAUGGCAUUUGGAACUGGACAUCUAGAGUGUGUCAGAGGGGGGUGGAAUUCCACGUGUAGCAGUGAAAUGCGUAGAGAUGUGGAGGAACACCGAUGGCGAAGGCAGCCCCCUGGGAUAACACUGACGCUCAUGCACGAAAGCGUGGGGAGCAAACAGGAUUAGAUACCCUCGUAGUC